RNAcentral lists this ribosomal RNA (422 nucleotides) under uncultured archaeon. Its description in RNAcentral is "partial 16S ribosomal RNA". It matches the Rfam family "Archaeal small subunit ribosomal RNA", at positions 323 to 746 of the family's 1478-position model. The record is from RNAcentral.
CUACGGGAGGCUGCAGGCGAGAAAACUUUGCAAUGUGCGAAAGCACGACAAGGUUAAUCCGAGUGGUUUGUGCUAAACGAACCUUUUGACAGUCCUAGAAACACUGUUGAAUAAGGGGUGGGCAAGUUCUGGUGUCAGCCGCCGCGGUAAAACCAGCACCUCAAGUGGUCAGGAUGAUUAUUGGGCCUAAAGCAUCCGUAGCCGGCUCUGUUAGUUUUCGGUUAAAUCUGUACGCUUAACGUACAGGCUGCCGGGAAUACUGCAGAGCUAGGGAGUGGGAGAGGUAGACGGUACUCGAUAGGAAGGGGUAAAAUCCUUUGAUCUAUUGAUGACCACCUGUGGCGAAGGCGGUCUACCAGAACACGUCCGACGGUGAGGGAUGAAAGCUGGGGGAGCAAACCGGAUUAGAUACCCUAGUAGUC